UACUAGAUACAGAUGUUCUGCUGGGGUUUUUUCUAUACUAGUAGGUUAGAUAUUCGUUUCUUAUUUACGUUACUAGAUACAGAUGUUCUGCUGGGGUUUUUUCUAUACUAGUAGGUUAGAUAUUCGUUUCUUAUUUACGUUACUAGAUACAGGUGUUCUGCUGUUUGGUUUUUUUCUAUACUAGUAGGUUAGAUAUUCGUUUCUUGUUUACGUUACUAGAUACAGAUGUUCUGCUGGGGUUUUUUCUAUACUAGUAGGUUAGAUAUUCGUUACUAGAUACAGAUGUUCUGCUGGGUUUUUUUUUCUAUACUAGUAGGUUAGAUAUUCGUUACUAGAUACAGCUGUUCUGCUGGGGUUUUUUCUAUACUAGUAGGUUAGAUAUUCGUUACUAGAUACAGAUGUUCUGCUGGGUUUUUUUCUAUACUAGUAGGUUAGAUAUUCGUUACUAGAUACAGAUGUUCUGCUGGGGUUUUUUUUCUAUACUAGUAGGUUAGAUAUUCGUUACUAGAUACAGAUGUUCUGCUGGGGUUUUUUCUAUACUAGUAGGUUAGAUAUUCGUUACUAGAUACAGAUGUUCUGCUGGGUUUUUUCUAUACUAGUAGGUUAGAUAUUCGUUACUAGAUACAGAUGUUCUGCUGGGUUUUUUUCUAUACUAGUAGGUUAGAUAUUCGUUUCUUAUUUACGUUACUAGAUACAGAUGUUCUGCUGAGUUUUUUUCUAUACUAGUAGGUUAGAUAUUCGUUACUAGAUACAGAUGUUCUGCUGGGUUUUUUUUCUAUACUAGUAGGUUAGAUAUUCGUUACUAGAUACAGAUGUUCUGCUGUGUUUUUUUCUAUACUAGUAGGUUAGAUAUUCGUUUCUUUUUUACGUUACUAGAUACAGAUGUUCUGCUGAGUUUUUUUCUAUACUAGUAGGUUAGAUAUUCGUUACUAGAUACAGAUGUUCUGCUGGGUUUAUUUUUCUAUACUAGUAGGUUAGAUAUUCGUUACUAGAUACAGAUGUUCUGCUGGGUUUUUUUUUCUAUACUAGUAGGUUAGAUAUUCGUUACUAGAUACAGAUGUUCUGCUGGGUUUUUUUCUAUACUAGUAGGUUAGAUAUUCGUUACUAGAUACAGAUGUUCUGCUGGGUUUUUUUUUCUAUACUAGUAGGUUAGAUAUUCGUUACUAGAUACAGAUGUUCUGCUGGGUUUUUUUUUCUAUACUAGUAGGUUAGAUAUUCGUUACUAGAUACAGAUGUUCUGCUGGGUUUUUUUCUAUACUAGUAGGUUAGAUAUUCGUUACUAGAUACAUAUGUUCUGCUGGUUUUUUUUCUAUACUAGUAGGUUAGAUAUUCGUUACUAGAUACAGAUGUUCUGUUGGGUUUUUUUCUAUACUAGUAGGUUAGAUAUUCGUUACUAGAUACAAAUGUUCUGUUGGGUUUUUUUCUAUACUAGUAGGUUAGAUAUUCGUUUCUUAUUUACGUUACUAGAUACAGAUGUUCUGCUGGGGUUUUUUCUAUACUAGUAGGUUAGAUAUUCGUUACUAGAUACAGAUGUUCUGCUGGGUUUUUUUUUCUAUACUAGUAGGUUAGAUAUUCGUUUCUUAUUUACGUUACUAGAUACAGAUGUUCUGCUGGGUUUUUUUUCUAUACUAGUAGGUUAGAUAUUCGUUACUAGAUACAGAUGUUCUGCUGGGUUUUUUUCUAUACUAGUAGGUUAGAUAUUCGUUACUAGAUACAGAUGUUCUGCUGGGUUUUUUUCUAUACUAGUAGGUUAGAUAUUCGUUACUAGAUACAGAUGUUCUGCUGGGUUUUUUUCUAUACUAGUAGGUUAGAUAUUCGUUACUAGAUACAGAUGUUCUGCUGGGUUUUUUUUUCUAUACUAGUAGGUUAGAUAUUCGUUACUAGAUACAGAUGUUCUGCUGGGUUUUUUUCUAUACUAGUAGGUUAGAUAUUCGUUACUAGAUACAGAUGUUCUGCUGGGUUUUUUCUAUACUAGUAGGUUAGAUAUUCGUUACUAGAUACAGAUGUUCUGCUGGGUUUUUUUCUAUACUAGUAGGUUAGAUAUUCGUUUCUUAUUUACGUUACUAGAUACAGAUGUUCUGCUGAGUUUUUUUCUAUACUAGUAGGUUAGAUAUUCGUUACUAGAUACAGAUGUUCUGCUGGUUUUUUUUUUCUAUACUAGUAGGUUAGAUAUUCGUUACUAGAUACAGAUGUUCUGCUGUGUUUUUUUCUAUACUAGUAGGUUAGAUAUUCGUUUCUUAUUUACGUUACUAGAUACAGAUGUUCUGCUGAGUUUUUUUCUAUACUAGUAGGUUAGAUAUUCGUUACUAGAUACAGAUGUUCUGCUGGGUUUAUUUUUCUAUACUAGUAGGUUAGAUAUUCGUUACUAGAUACAGAUGUUCUGCUGGGUUUUUUUUUCUAUACUAGUAGGUUAGAUAUUCGUUACUAGAUACAGAUGUUCUGCUGUGUUUUUUUCUAUACUAGUAGGUUAGAUAUUCGUUACUAGAUACAGAUGUUCUGCUGGGUUUUUUUUUCUAUACUAGUAGGUUAGAUAUUCGUUACUAGAUACAGAUGUUCUGCUGGGUUUUUUUCUAUACUAGUAGGUUAGAUAUUCGUUACUAGAUACAGAUGUUCUGCUGGGUUUUUUUUUCUAUACUAGUAGGUUAGAUAUUCGUUACUAGAUACAGAUGUUCUGCUGUGUUUUACAGCGUGUUGAUUUCUUUGUAUGUAUCACAAAUAAUUUUUAUUACAGAUCUGUUACUGAUUAAAACAAAACUUACAGAUCAUUUAUUUCAAGGGGAAAUUAACAGAUAGGAGCUACAAAUGUUUAUCACAGAGAAAACAGUUGGGAAUGUUCAUUUGAAGUCCGCUUAGCACACGUGGAUGGUCACGUGGUUUAGUGAAAGAUAUAUAUCAUGUUCUGAUGCAUGUAUUAUCAUUUUCGAUGUCACAAGAGGUUGUGUGCAGUGCACAUAGAUGUAUCACUUGAUUGAUUGAUUGUUUGUUUGUUAUACGUCCGGUCGAGAGUUUUUCAUUCACAUUGAGACGUCACCAGCGUGAAGUACCACAAAUUUAGACCUAUGCCUGGCGCUCAGGGCCGUAACAGUGAGGGUUCUUUAAGUAACGUACUAACACCUCCCGCGGCACGAGACCUCCGUUUUUAAGGUCAUAUCCGAAAGACCCGUGAUUCUCACUUCCAAAUGCCGAGCGUUUGGUGAAAGAGCGAUCACUACCUAUUUCAGCGGUAUAGGUUUGUCGCGGUCCUGGUACGAGCGGGGCCCGAACUCACGACCUCCCGGUUACGAAGCGAACGCUUUACCACUGAGGUACCGCGACUGGUGUAUCACUUGAAACCAUGUGUAGUGUACAAUGUACAGCGUGUAUAUAUCAUUACAAUGUACAGCGUGUAUAUAUCAUUACAAUGUACAGCGUGUAUAUAUCAUUAAAUGUUUGUGUAAAUUGUACACAUUUAUGACAUUCGGUGACAAAAAGGACUUCUUCCCUAGAGUUGUUACUUUCCAGUUGUAAGUUUGUCAGCAUUUGUUUGUAUAUUCAAAUCAGUGGAGAUGAACUGGAAUGCAUGCUCUGUCGUACUGCCACAAUCCUCCAGAUCUAUGUGUUAAGCGGUAUUCUGUCGUUCCACAAUCAUCCAGAUAUAUAUGUUUUGAGCGGCAUUGAAUUUACAUUACUCUGUUUUA
Molecule: long non-coding RNA, 3677 nt
Organism: Ostrea edulis (European flat oyster)
Lineage: Eukaryota; Metazoa; Mollusca; Bivalvia; Ostreida; Ostreidae
Exons: 3
Source: RefSeq, a predicted model, not a curated record